This 325-nucleotide small nuclear RNA is filed under the name Castor canadensis (American beaver). RNAcentral describes it as "7SK RNA (ENSCCNG00000018718.1)". It matches the Rfam family "7SK RNA". From Rfam's summary of the family: 7SK was discovered as an abundant small nuclear RNA in the mid-70s but a possible function has only recently been suggested. Two independent studies have found that 7SK RNA binds the CDK9/cyclin T complex (known as elongation factor P-TEFb). P-TEFb activates transcription by phosphorylating the C-terminal domain of RNA polymerase II. Lineage: Eukaryota; Metazoa; Chordata; Mammalia; Rodentia; Castoridae. The record is from Rfam by way of RNAcentral.
GGAUGUGAGGGCGAUCUGGCUGCGACAUCUGUCACCCCCUUGAUUGCCAGGGUUGAUUCGGCUGAUUUGGCUGGCUAGGUGGGUGUCCCUUCCUCCCUCACUGCUCCAUGUGCGUCCCUCCCGAAGCUGCACGCUGGGUAGAAGAGGACGACCAUCUCUGAUAGAGGAGGAUCGAUGAGGACCGUUUCUUCGGUCAAGGGUAUACGAGUAGCUGCGCUCCCCUGCUAGAAUCUCCAAACAAGCUCUCAAAAGACUGAAAACUAAUACUGCAACAUAUUAAUAUUUGCAUGUCGAUGUUGAGAUUACUACUGAUAUUUUUCUUCUU